Molecule: unclassified non-coding RNA, 2117 nt
Filed under: Hevea brasiliensis (rubber tree)
Lineage: Eukaryota; Viridiplantae; Streptophyta; Magnoliopsida; Malpighiales; Euphorbiaceae
Source: RNAcentral
AAAAAAAAAAAAAAAAACUAAUAAGGCCAGAAUUAUCAAUCAAAACCUCACUACGCAAAGCAGCUUUUACAUGUACACCAAAAAUUGCUGAAAGAAAAAGGAAAAAAAUGAUAAGGAUGAUACAGAAAACAUGAUUAACUAGUGAGGAGAGUCUCAACAGCUUCAAAGAACAGCUGUUCCAUGUCUGGGUUUGGAGUCUUGAUUGCACACUUAACCCCUGAUGUUCCAACAGCUGUGGUGAGUUCAAUCAAAAAGGGAGUUCCACGAGGGAUUUUAGUGGAGAAGUAGAACACAUAUUGGUUGCCAUUCUUCGGCUUUAAUAAAGAACAUGUUCGAUGCAGCCAAAUGGUCUAAAGUAGCUUCUACACUAUUAACUACAAUGCCUGGAAAGUCCUUCGAGACUUCAUUUGAAUCAGGAAGAGACCUCCAUUUUUUUUUCCUCCUUUUACCUCUAGGAAGCUCCCACGUUCCAUCCUCCCAUCCUCAGCAAAGAAUACACGCAAUGAAAUUUUGCAAUUGAAGUACAAUACUGGCUGUUGAUUAUUUUCAUAGCAACUUGCAAAAGUGAGUUUGGAGGACCAGCAGACAUGUUCUCGAACAAUACCAUAGGCAGCAGAGUUGCUGCUGACGUCCCAGGUUGCAAUUGUGGAACCUGCAAGGGUCCAGCAGCAGCAAGACCAAAUAUGUUCUUGUUAAACUGAAUCAUGAAUCCAUCAAGGGGAAUCUGUGAGUUGUUCUCAAACAAUAAGCUAUAAAAGAUUUGACCAUCUCUUCGAAUUAGCUGCGCACUGAUUUGUAAACCAUGACCAGCUGAUGCUGGUAGUAGAACUGGCAAAGGAGGGCCAGGAGUAGAUGUCUGGUCAACAGGGAUAAUAGCACUAUUAUCCAAGCUUAUCAAGUCACCUAGUAAAUCUGGCACAGGAGCUGCAGGAGCAGGUUGCUUUGCUCCAGCAUGUGGAACAUUACUUGAACUGGCUGGUGGUGAUGCACUACCACCAGCAGGAUGAGCAGGAGAUUCCGAAUACCUGUUUCACUCCCAUCAGGAUAGUCAUCAUCUUCAGUUUUCUGUGCUGUUGUCUUCGUACGGGUUACAAAUGGCUCUGGGGGUUUGUGAUACACAGAGGACAAUGUAGCAAUGUUGGCAAGAAGCCCAUCAAGAACAGAUGGAUCAAGUUGGUUUGAAUCAUCACUAAUCACAGGUUUCUCAGCCAGCACAACAUCCUUUGCAGCCUCAGGAUCAGUAGAUAACAGUCGCCAAUAUAUAUAUGCAUGAUCUCAUAAAUCAGGAUAGUCUGUUUCCACAGUUGCAUUAUUCAAAACAACCUUAAGGAAAAGUAGAAAAACUUGAAUCAUCUGCUGAGGGCCUUCAGUUGGCUUUUUAAGAAAGAGUUUCACAGUUGCAGCCAACAAUUGCAGUUGGACUUGUGCAGGCUCCUCAGAGAAACUCUCCAAGAAGCUUUCCAAGAGCUCAUCAGCAUUGUCAAUUCUUUCUGCAUAUUCUCAAAUUAUCCAGCUCAUCGAAGCCUUAGCUUCUGGCUCAUCUAAAGUGUCUAAGCUCUCACAGAGUGUUGCAAUGAUUGAUUCACAACUGCAAAGGAAAAGGAGAUACAUAAUUAAGUUUAGAUGGAAAUCAGAAUUUCACAUUAAUAUUCACUGAGAGCACAAAAGAUAUAGCUUAUGUGUUAGGGUAUCUUCUAAAGAUGUCUUUGAUAACUAUAAUAGCCUCUUGAACAUAAUUUACUUUAAUUUUAAUCAGCUCUAGCAAGACACUUAUGCAACGCUCAGCAGCUCUCUCCAACUUGAUGGCACAGCGACCAAUGACACGAACAGCCCUUCUGACAAAAUCCACAUCUACUUCUGUGGCAUACUCUUUGAACUCCAACAGAACUUGGUCUAUAUUUCGGUCUGAAGCAAGCUUUAUCAUGAUUUCUAGCUUCUCCAUCUUCACAUAAAUGGCAUCAUUGUACUUGCAGAAAAAAACCUGAAAAUAGAAGAAAAAGAUUUUGGAGCAGCAUCUCCUUGAUAACAACAUGGCCAAAAAGCAUGAGUGGGAAUUUCCAUGUGUGAAUUUGUACCAUUCAUCAAGUAGAGAGGACUAUGUCUUUUUACCUUAAUUU